Molecule: ribosomal RNA, 498 nt
Filed under: uncultured bacterium
Lineage: Bacteria
Description: partial 16S ribosomal RNA
Rfam family: Bacterial small subunit ribosomal RNA
Source: RNAcentral
GACGAACGCUGGCGGCGUGCCUAAUACAUGCAAGUCGAACGAGAGCGCCCGGUGCUUGCACUGGUCAAUCUAGUGGCGAACGGGUGAGUAACACGUGGGUAACCUGCCCAUCAGAGGGGGAUAACAUCCGGAAACGGAUGCUAAAACCGCCUCGGUCUUCGAACCGCAUGGUUCGAAGAGGCAUAGAGGCGCAAGCUUCUGCUGAUGGAUGGACCCGCGGUGCAUUAGCUAGUUGGUGAGGUAACGGCUCACCAAGGCCGUGAUGCGUAGCCGGCCUGAGAGGGUGAUCGGCCACACUGGAACUGAGACACGGCCCAAACUCCUACGGGAGGCAGCAGUAGGGAAUCUUCCGCAAUGGACGCAAGUCUGACGGAGCAACGCCGCGUGAGUGAAGAAGGUUUUCGGAUCGUAAAACUCUGUUGUUAGGGAAGAACAAGUGCUAGAGUAACUGUUAGCGCCUUGACGGUACCUAACCAGAAAGCCACGGCUAACUACGUG